CCAGAGAUUAGAGUUUGAUCCUGGCUCAGAUUGAACGCUGGCGGCAGGCCUAACACAUGCAAGUCGAACGGUAACAGGAAGAAGCUUGCUUCUUUGCUGACGAGUGGCGGACGGGUGAGUAAUGUCUGGGAAACUGCCUGAUGGAGGGGGAUAACUACUGGAAACGGUAGCUAAUACCGCAUAACGUCGCAAGACCAAAGAGGGGGACCUUCGGGCCUCUUGCCAUCGGAUGUGCCCAGAUGGGAUUAGCUAGUAGGUGGGGUAACGGCUCACCUAGGCGACGAUCCCUAGCUGGUCUGAGAGGAUGACCAGCCACACUGGAACUGAGACACGGUCCAGACUCCUACGGGAGGCAGCAGUGGGGAAUAUUGCACAAUGGGCGCAAGCCUGAUGCAGCCAUGCCGCGUGUAUGAAGAAGGCCUUCGGGUUGUAAAGUACUUUCAGCGGGGAGGAAGGGAGUAAAGUUAAUACCUUUGCUCAUUGACGUUACCCGCAGAAGAAGCACCGGCUAACUCCGUGCCAGCAGCCGCGGUAAUACGGAGGGUGCAAGCGUUAAUCGGAAUUACUGGGCGUAAAGCGCACGCAGGCGGUUUGUUAAGU
This 600-nucleotide ribosomal RNA is filed under the name uncultured Escherichia sp. RNAcentral describes it as "bacterial SSU rRNA". It matches the Rfam family "Bacterial small subunit ribosomal RNA", at positions 1 to 588 of the family's 1533-position model. Lineage: Bacteria; Pseudomonadati; Pseudomonadota; Gammaproteobacteria; Enterobacterales; Enterobacteriaceae. The record is from RNAcentral.